Molecule: ribosomal RNA, 264 nt
Filed under: uncultured bacterium
Lineage: Bacteria
Description: partial 16S ribosomal RNA
Rfam family: Bacterial small subunit ribosomal RNA
Source: RNAcentral
GAUCCUGGCUCGGGAUGAACGCUAGCUACAGGCUUAACACAUGCAAGUCGAGGGGCAGCAUGACCUAGCAAUAGGUUGAUGGCGACCGGCGCACGGGUGAGUAACACGUAUCCAACCUACCGGUUAUUCCGGGAUAGCCUUUCGAAAGAAAGAUUAAUACCGGAUAGUAUAACGAGAAGGCAUCUUUUUGUUAUUAAAGAAUUUCGAUAACCGAUGGGGAUGCGUUCCAUUAGUUUGUUGGCGGGGUAACGGCCCACCAAGACA